UCCCCGUUAGUAGAGGGGUGAAUAUCCCCGCCUGUCACGCGGGAGACCGGGGUUCAAUUCCUCGAUGGGGAA
Carcharodon carcharias (great white shark) is the source of this 72-nucleotide non-coding RNA. The record is from the annotation of a RefSeq genome assembly. NCBI's taxonomy places the organism in Eukaryota, Metazoa, Chordata, Chondrichthyes, Lamniformes, Lamnidae.